UAAGAGGUAGCUAAGAAGUAAUUUAUUGCUUGUGUUUUUAAAAGAGAAAGUUCUGAACAUUGCAAGUAAACAUUCAGCUUUAUUUCUUAGAAAUAAUUAAUAAUGCAUUAGCUGCACAUAUUUUGAUGUUGUACCCAAAUAUCUUCAAGAUUUUACAUAUUCUUGCUGUAGUGCUAGUAACGACAGGUUCUUGGGUGAGAGAUCUAUAUCAUCGUUACGACGAGUAAAGACAUAUUUAAGAAGCUCGAUGGCCCAGGAUCGAUUUAAUGGCUUGGUGUUGCUAAAUAUCCACAACAAGAUGAAAAUAAAUUUAGAUGACGUAAUCGAUAUGCUGGCAAUAAAUUAUCUAAAAAGACUUAAAAUGUUAGAUAUCCUGAACGAUGAUUAAAAGUGUAGCAGUCUUGAUAAAAAUAUAAAUCUUGUAUAUUA
Long non-coding RNA from Hydractinia symbiolongicarpus, 429 nucleotides. RefSeq lists it as uncharacterized. NCBI's taxonomy places the organism in Eukaryota, Metazoa, Cnidaria, Hydrozoa, Anthoathecata, Hydractiniidae. The record is from RefSeq and is a predicted model, not a curated record. The transcript has 2 exons.